CGGAUGGGGGACGGCUACCAUGCAGUCGAGCGGCAUGCACGAGAGCUUGGUCUCUGAUUGCACCGGCGGACGGGGGAGUAGUGUGUAGGAAUCUGUGUGGGGUAGGGGGAGACGUCCCGGGGGGACGCUCUACCGCGCACGUCCUACGGGAGAAAAAGGGGACCUUCGGGCCUUGCGCUAUCUCAUGAGCCUAGGUCGGAUUUUAUAGUUGGGGAGGUAAUGGGUCUCCCCGGCGACAAUCCGCAACUGUGCUGAGAGGAUGAUCUCUCACACUGUGACUGAGACACGCGCCCCACUCCCCUACGAGGCAGCACUGGGGAAUAUUGUACACUGUGCGAAAGCCUGAGCCCCCCCUGCGCCGCGUGUGAAAAAAGUCUUCUCAUUGUGUAGCACUUUUUAUUGUGAGAAAAAGCACUUACCUAAUACCUUGUUGUUUUUUGACUACCCACACAAUAUACACCGCCUAACUCUCUGCCACCAGCCCCGCUAAUACACAGAGUGCAAGCGUUAUUCUCAAUUACUGUGCGUAUAGCGCGCGCAUAUGGGUUGUGAUAAUGAAUGUGAAAUCCCCGCGCUCUCACUCUGAACUCUGUCUCCAACUGUGAAGCUAUAGAAUGGGAGAGGGGGGUGGUAAUAUCCUGUGUAGCGCGGAAAAGCGCAGUAGAUAUGAAGAGAACACCACUGGCGACAAGGGACACUCUCUGCUGCUUACUGCUCACUGAUAUGCGCACACGCUGGGCAGAACAAAGCAAUAUAGACACUCUUCGUCCCCGCCGCUACAUACUGAUCAUCUACUACACUGUAAGGCUUCUUGCGGUUAUUACUGCAGCUAUAACAUUAUUAUGUCUGGCCCGUGUAGGAAUAGCCGCUCGAUGAUAGAUCCUCAGGAUAUGUCGACUGCCCUCACAAAAAGCGCUGAAUCUGCUUUUAUACUAAGAAACACGCUAAAACGUAUCACCCCUCGUGUAACACUGAGAUUGCUUGCAAAAAGAUGGGGCGGGUCUUUAUCAAGUAAUACAAGCCCAGACUCAUGAUUUCAAUAUCGCGCCUGUCAGAAAAUAAAGUUUAACGAAAGCCUUCUUCUACUAGCAGUUGAAUGU
This 1100-nucleotide ribosomal RNA is filed under the name Pseudomonas sp. LChit68. RNAcentral describes it as "partial 16S ribosomal RNA". The stretch from base 1 to 798 matches the Rfam family "Bacterial small subunit ribosomal RNA". Lineage: Bacteria; Pseudomonadati; Pseudomonadota; Gammaproteobacteria; Pseudomonadales; Pseudomonadaceae. The record is from RNAcentral.